RNAcentral lists this ribosomal RNA (1767 nucleotides) under Triticum aestivum (bread wheat). Its description in RNAcentral is "partial small subunit ribosomal RNA". The record is from RNAcentral. Lineage: Eukaryota; Viridiplantae; Streptophyta; Magnoliopsida; Poales; Poaceae.
AUGGCGUCGGCUGCUGAUGCAACCAUUUACGCCGACGGGUUCCCGUCGGCUGAGCUGCCCCGGCGGCCGGUGGACUACCAGCCCAAAACCUGGGACUACGACUCCAUUUGCUCAUUGCAGCAGCAGGCGCACCAAGACGACAAGCAUACCAAGCAAAGCUCACUCCAAACGAGCUUGAAGCACAGAGUGAGGCGGCUUUUGCUCGAGGAGGAAGAAGAGCUGGCUACUAGGCUCAUGAUCAUGGAUCAACUCCAAAGUGUUGGUGUAGCAUACCAUUUCGAGGAGGAGAUCACAAGCAUCCUCAUGUCCAUGCAUGUUCAUGAUGCACACGUUCAACUCAAGCAUGACCUCUCUUCAACAGCCCUACUAUUUAGAAUGCUCAGAGGACAUGGAAUCCAUGCGUCCACAGAUGAUUGUAAUUUGUUCAUUUUGUUUGUAGAUAUGUUGACUUCAUUCAAGGAUGAAAUGGGUGAUUUCAAAGCUGAUAACGCCAAGGACAUAAAUGCUUUUGUUGCACUCUAUGAAACUUCCUACCUGGCCUUCCCAGGAGAGUCCAUGCUCGACGAAGCAAGAGCAUUCGCCGUCAAGAAACUCGAAGAACUGAUGCCAUCCAUGUCGAUCUUCAUGGGGCCUGAAAGACAAGGAGACAUCCCGUUGCACUGGAAAGUUCCCAGGCUGCAGGCGACAUGGUCGCUGAAACAGCACGGCUACAACGAGGAGAGCCACCUGAGUAUCGAUCCUUCCAUCCGGCAGCUGGCUGCGGUCGACUUCAACUUCGUGCAGGCUGUCCAUGGAGCGGAGCUCGUCCAAGUGAUGAAAUGGUGGAAGGAGACCGGGUUGGGCGAGAAGCUGCCAUUCGCAAGGGACCGUCUGGUGGAAUGCUUCUUCUGCGCAGCAUGCAUCGCGCCGGAGCCCCACCUCACCGGCUGUCGCGAGGUGCUGGCCAAGGUGGGCUCCCUCAUCGUCCAACUGGACGACGUCUAUGACAUCUAUGGCACGGUCGAUGAGCUGACCGCCUUCACCGAUGUCGUGGGCGACUGGUGGGAAUGGGACGACGAUGAUUUUUCGUCGGUGCCGAGGCUGCCAGAGUACAUGAAGGUGAUGUACUCUGCCAUCCGGUCGACGUCGACGGAGGCAGCAAAUCGUGUAAUGAAGGAGCAAGGGUACGACGUGCUCCCACUGUACAAGAAAGCAUGGCAUGAGCUGUGUAAGUCGUUCCUGAUAGAAGCCAAGUGGCAGCACGAGGGUCAGAUGCCAUGCUUGGAGGAGUACCUCGGGAACGGGUGGGUCACGUCCACGGGGCCUCUCCUGCUGCUCCACGCUUUCACCAUGCUCCAGCCGCAACAGCAGAUGGAUUCAUGGCUGCAGAAAAACGAAGAUGGCGAUGACAUGGUCAUGGCAUACCCGAAGCUGGUUGAGCUAUGUUCCAUGAUCUUCCGGCUCUGCAACGACUGCGCGACCCACGAGGCCGAGUCAGAGCGGGGCGAGACCGCGUAAGCCAUCAUCUGCCGCAUGGGUGGUGGCGCCAGCAAGGAAGAGGCCCGCGCCGCGGUGGUGGACGCCAUUGCCGAGACCUGGAAGAAGGUGAACAGGGAAGUCGCCUUGAGCAGCAGCACCGGGACCAGCGUCUGCGUCAACCUGGCGAGGACCGUCCAAUGCAUCUAUCAAGACGGCGACGGCAUCACCUCGCCCAAGGACAGCCGGAAACAACUCGUCAAGGACAUGCUCUUCACGCCUGUUGCUCUAGAUAUUUGUGGCGCACACUAG